RNAcentral lists this transfer RNA (72 nucleotides) under Ovis aries (sheep). It matches the Rfam family "tRNA". From Rfam's summary of the family: Transfer RNA (tRNA) molecules are approximately 80 nucleotides in length. The record is from Rfam by way of RNAcentral. Lineage: Eukaryota; Metazoa; Chordata; Mammalia; Artiodactyla; Bovidae.
UCCCUGGUGGCUCAAACAGUAAAGAAUCUGCCUGCAAUGUAGGAGACCCAGGUUCAAUCCCUGGGUUGGGAA